Liolophura sinensis is the source of this 1241-nucleotide long non-coding RNA. RefSeq lists it as uncharacterized. The transcript is spliced from 3 exons. The record is from RefSeq and is a predicted model, not a curated record. NCBI's taxonomy places the organism in Eukaryota, Metazoa, Mollusca, Polyplacophora, Chitonida, Chitonidae.
CAAUACUGUAUAUAAGCCUCUAUAGUGUCACAAAUUUCAAGGACUGUUUUUAGUUCAUAAAUUUAGUGAUAACUAAUCUUGCCGCGAGGGCGACUUGCCUUCAUCUUCAUUUCACUAAGUUUUGUUUUUGCUGAAUACCGGAUAUACGCUUUCAUCAUAAUGUUAAAGUCAUCGAUGCUUCUACUGGCUCUGGUGACUCUAUUGUGGCGGGUUAACUGUGGGCCCGUGGAUCAGAGGACGGCUGACGUGGGGACGGGUGGGAGAAUAAAAGAUUGGAUUUCCCAGCUGAAGUCCUUGUUACAUGACAGUCUCAAAGUUCUAGAUUCAUAUCCGGAUAACUAUAAAAACAGCACAAUAACAAACAAGAACGUUAAUGGGACCGUGAUCCAAACCAAUACAACGAUAACAAAGAAUACGAAAAACAACCAAACAUUAUUCCACUAUUCAGAGCGGAGGAAAGUUAUGCAAGAGAGCCUGAGUGGACAUUAAUGGCCUUUUUUCGGGAGCACACGUCAGCAAGCGGAGAACUACGAUGGGGAUUAGUCCAGUAGGCCCUUCGCGAACCCCUGUUAUCUCCCCUGUGCUAGCAACAUACAUGUCAAUCGUGACUAGGACGGAGAAAGGUGGAGACAGCCUUAUCAAGGCGUAUUUACCAUAGCUGCGCCCCCCCCCCCCCCCACCUCCCGAAAUAAUGACAAAUGACAUCGGCUUAGAGGUUUGAAUAAAAAUGCUUAACUGACUAAGAACAACGUGCAGUAGUUUAUCUUGGAUUUAUCCGGGACUGAUUAACACAGACAGAAAUUGGUGUCUUGCGGGAAUACUAUAUAUAAAUGCUGUAUAGAACUGACAAGGGGCUGAAACCAACACCAAAUAGAUCUAUACCAUCCACAACACAUCGGAGACUGCACACAGACCACCACUGAAUAAUCAAGGCCCAAACACAAGAAAAAAAAUUAGAAUUUGGGAGACUUUGUAUCAAUUGUUGUCUACAACUGCUUUCAGACAAGGACAUUUCGCACAUACGAAGUCUUAAAGACAAAGAAGUAUAUAUAAGAUAAAAGACCAUUUAACAAUGAACUGAAAAACAGCUCGUUUUACUUAUUAUUCAGAAUCAAUUUUUCUUUUAGAAUUUCUCCUACCGAGUAAAAUUGUUAUGAAACAUCAGUUUCAAGGGUGAUCGGUAGUGAACAAAUGGAUAUCAGUGACGUGAUAUAUCCACGUUUUGCUUAAAAUAGUUCGAU